Molecule: ribosomal RNA, 497 nt
Filed under: uncultured bacterium
Lineage: Bacteria
Description: partial 16S ribosomal RNA
Rfam family: Bacterial small subunit ribosomal RNA
Source: RNAcentral
GAUGAACGCUGGCGGCGUGCCUAAUACAUGCAAGUAGAACGCUGAAGCUUGGUGCUUGCACCGAGCGGAUGAGUUGCGAACGGGUGAGUAACGCGUAGGUAACCUGCCUCUUAGCGGGGGAUAACUAUUGGAAACGAUAGCUAAUACCGCAUAAAAGUCGACAUCGCAUGAUGUUGACUUGAAAGGUGCAAUUGCAUCACUAAGAGAUGGACCUGCGUUGUAUUAGCUAGUUGGUGAGGUAACGGCUCACCAAGGCGACGAUACAUAGCCGACCUGAGAGGGUGAUCGGCCACACUGGGACUGAGACACGGCCCAGACUCCUACGGGAGGCAGCAGUAGGGAAUCUUCGGCAAUGGGGGCAACCCUGACCGAGCAACGCCGCGUGAGUGAAGAAGGUUUUCGGAUCGUAAAGCUCUGUUGUAAGAGAAGAACGAGUGUGAGAGUGGAAAGUUCACACUGUGACGGUAACUUACCAGAAAGGGACGGCUAACUACGUG